Astatotilapia calliptera (eastern happy) is the source of this 477-nucleotide long non-coding RNA. The record is from Ensembl. Lineage: Eukaryota; Metazoa; Chordata; Actinopteri; Cichliformes; Cichlidae.
UUCGAAGCACGGUCAACAGAAUCAAGGAGAGGAGAAAAGCGCUUAAUUUUUCAAACUGUGCCAGUUCCCGACCAUCCAGUUCAGUUACCAACUCUCGUCCUGUCAGUUUCCCACUUGGAACAACUCCAAGCCAGGAAGAGGAAGGCUAUGCUUGCAGCACCACGCUAGGCCCGGCAAUGCAGGAAGAGAACAGCCAAGUUGAGGUGUCCAUUCCUUGUGUACCAGAGAUAGUAGAAAAUGGCCAAAUGUCCGAAGGCACUCAUCUGGAUACAGAGGAGCUGCCUGCUUCAGAAGUGAAUGCCUUGCCACCUGGCUGCAGUCUUCAUGUUCCCAUGGACCUCGAGUUUUCAGCUUCCUGUUUCCCUCGCAGCCCUACACCUCAGAAAAGCUACGAUCUUGUCCACAUAGACUGAUCUGUCAUGAUGUUUUUGGUGUUUCUGUACUUCUUAUUUGACAUUUAUCUGCCCCCCCCCCCCC